This 82-nucleotide transfer RNA is filed under the name Gelatoporia subvermispora B. It matches the Rfam family "tRNA". From Rfam's summary of the family: Transfer RNA (tRNA) molecules are approximately 80 nucleotides in length. Their secondary structure includes four short double-helical elements and three loops (D, anti-codon, and T loops). The record is from Rfam by way of RNAcentral. Lineage: Eukaryota; Fungi; Basidiomycota; Agaricomycetes; Polyporales; Gelatoporiaceae.
GGCCGACUGGCGAAAUGGCAUCGCGUCUGACUACGACCCAGUUGCUAUCAGGAGAUUGCAGGUUCGACCCCUGCGUCGGUCA